CGUGUAGGCGGUUGGUCAAGUCUGGUGUGAAAGCCCGGGGCUUAGCCCCGGAAGUGCGCUGGAAACUAGCCAACUUGAGCGCGAUAGAGGAGGGUGGAAUUCCUGGUGUAGCGGUGAAAUGCGUAGAUAUCAGGAGGAACACCGGCGGCGAAGGCGGCCCUCUGGGUCGUUGCUGACGCUGAGACGCGAAAGCGUGGGGAGCAAACAGGAUUAGAUACCCUGGUAGUCCACGCUGUAAACUAUGGGUACUAGGUGUUCGGGGUGUUGACCCCCUGAGUGCCGACGCUAACGCAUUAAGUACCCCGCCUGGGGAUUACGGCCGCAAGGCUAAA
RNAcentral lists this ribosomal RNA (332 nucleotides) under uncultured bacterium. Its description in RNAcentral is "bacterial SSU rRNA". It matches the Rfam family "Bacterial small subunit ribosomal RNA", at positions 568 to 898 of the family's 1533-position model. The record is from RNAcentral.